UGCCUGUAGUCCCAGCUCUCGGGAGGCUGAGGUGGGAGGAUCGCUUGAGCCCAGGAGUUCUGGGCUGUAGUGCGCUAUGCCGAUCGGGUGUCCGCACUAAGUUCGGCAUCAAUAUGGUGACCUCCCGGGAGCGGGGGACCACCAGGUUGCCUAAGGAGGGGUGAACCGGCCCAGGUCGGAAACGGAGCAGGUCAAAACUCCCGUGCUGAUCAGUAGUGGGAUUGCGCCUGUGAAUAGCCACUGCACUCCAGCCUGGGCAACAUAGUGAGACCCUG
RNAcentral lists this signal recognition particle RNA (275 nucleotides) under Homo sapiens (human). RNAcentral describes it as "LHRI_LNC2063.11". It matches the Rfam family "Metazoan signal recognition particle RNA". Rfam says of the family: The signal recognition particle (SRP) is a universally conserved ribonucleoprotein. It is involved in the co-translational targeting of proteins to membranes. The record is from RNAcentral. Lineage: Eukaryota; Metazoa; Chordata; Mammalia; Primates; Hominidae.